CCGACCUUAGCUCAGCUGGAAGAGCACAAGACUGUAAUGGCUGACUAAGCAUAUCUUGGGGUCGCCUGUUCGAGCCAGGCAGGUCGGA
Non-coding RNA from Arthromyces matolae, 88 nucleotides. The record is from the annotation of a GenBank genome assembly. Lineage: Eukaryota; Fungi; Basidiomycota; Agaricomycetes; Agaricales; Lyophyllaceae.